Molecule: ribosomal RNA, 508 nt
Filed under: uncultured bacterium
Lineage: Bacteria
Description: partial 16S ribosomal RNA
Rfam family: Bacterial small subunit ribosomal RNA
Source: RNAcentral
GACGAACGCUGGCGGCGUGCCUAAUACAUGCAAGUCGAACGCUUCUUUCCUCCCGAGUGCUUGCACUCAAUUGGAAAGAGGAGUGGCGGACGGGUGAGUAACACGUGGGUAACCUACCCAUCAGAGGGGGAUAACACUUGGAAACAGGUGCUAAUACCGCAUAACAGUUUAUGCCGCAUGGCAUAAGAGUGAAAGGCGCUUUCGGGUGUCGCUGAUGGAUGGACCCGCGGUGCAUUAGCUAGUUGGUGAGUUAACGGCUCACCAAGGCCACGAUGCAUAGCCGACCUGAGAGGGUGAUCGGCAACACUGGGACUGAGGCACGGCCGAGACUCCUACGGGAGGCAGCAGUAGGGAAUCUUCGGCAAUGGACGAAAGUCUGACCGAGCAACGCCGAGUGAGUGAAGAAGGUUUUCGGAUCGUAAAACUCUGUUGUUAGAGAAGAACAAGGACGUUAGCAACUGAACGUCCCCUGACGGUAUCUAACCAGAAAGCCACGGCUAACUACGUG